This is a long non-coding RNA of Beta vulgaris subsp. vulgaris (sugar beet), 309 nucleotides long. RefSeq lists it as uncharacterized. Lineage: Eukaryota; Viridiplantae; Streptophyta; Magnoliopsida; Caryophyllales; Amaranthaceae. The record is from RefSeq and is a predicted model, not a curated record. The transcript is spliced from 2 exons.
AAGUAGAUUAAGAAAAAAAUUAAUAAUAAUAAUAUUAGAGAUAGUGAGAGACAUAUUGUGAGAAAAUAUACGAGGAAUUUGGUUACUUUUUACACUUUAAUAAGGUACCAGUAUUGGAAAUGGGCAAGAGUGAGGGAAAAAAAAAAAACUUAAGAUUAAUAUACUAUAUGUUGUUAACUUAUGUUCUAUAAUAUUAGUAUCAUGUUUUAGGUUGUUUUCGCCUUGUAUUUCUAUUAUUAGGAAUACGGCAGUAAUGUCCUGUAAACUCUUUAUAUCCUAUAAUAAAUAAAGAUGUAAUAUUUGGUUCGA